CGCUCGAGGAGCGUGCGCAAGUCCUGCUGCUCGAAGCGAGGGGGAGACAUGAUGGACUUUCACGACAGUUAGUGGACGGGUGGCAGGCCGAGCCAGACCCGUGCCCGCCCCGUCCAGUCUAGCUGCGUGAGCUCUCGCCCAGCCCGUAGGGAGCUUGGGCCUUGCCUACCAGCUUUUCCAGGUCCUCCAACCAUCGCCCCUCGGGGUCUCGGCACUGGCCUCUACCGGCGGGUGCCGGAGGAGGGCCUGUGCGGCCACCAGGGUGUCUCCUAGUAAUAGGUUGUCGAAGUCGAG
RNAcentral lists this long non-coding RNA (294 nucleotides) under Setaria italica (foxtail millet). RNAcentral describes it as "long non-coding RNA (SITA_LNC004484)". Lineage: Eukaryota; Viridiplantae; Streptophyta; Magnoliopsida; Poales; Poaceae. The record is from RNAcentral.